Long non-coding RNA from Drosophila sechellia, 720 nucleotides. RefSeq lists it as uncharacterized. The transcript has 4 exons. Lineage: Eukaryota; Metazoa; Arthropoda; Insecta; Diptera; Drosophilidae. The record is from RefSeq and is a predicted model, not a curated record.
CAAGCACAUCAACUUUUUUCGAAAAUUAUCCAUAUCUGUGGCCCAAGAUGGAGCAGAAGUAUAUAGUGAUCAUUUUCGGCAUUCUUAUGGCCUUGCUUCUGAUUAUAGACAUUAUUUUGAUCGUUUAUAUUGUGCUGGAUGUGAGAUUUGCUUAUGAAGUAUACUUCCACGCAAGGCGCCCGGAUCCAAUCGAGCGAGCUAAACCUGCACCCUUAUUCGCUCCUAUAUUUAGAUAUUAAGGAUGAAUCAGCAAUUAGUAUUGAUUCUAAUUGGCGUUUCGGUUAUCCUGUGUCUUGUCGCACUAAAUUUGCUGUUCAUUUACUUUAUAAUCGACAAUCCGUACAUGACCACGCUUUCGAGAAGAACAUUGGCCACGACGGCUCCCACUUGGGAUCUGCUGCCAGAAUUUACGGAGUCGAUAUCUUCGUCGCUGGAGCCUGGUGAAGAAGCGGCACCCGCUCGCCACUAAACACAUUGCAACAACAACUGCCGCCGACUAAACACAAACGAUCGAAUUCUGUGCAAUGGUGGAGACGACGACGCUCGUUACGAUUUUCCUGGUUAUAACUGUGUUCCUGCUGACCUUAAUGCUCUUGUUGAUUCCAAUGGCCCUCUUCAGAGGUCAUAAGGAUAAGGAUUCAUUCUUUGGUUAAUCGUAUUACGACACCUAGCGGCGAAAGCGAAGAACACAUAGCGGAGACUAACACCAUUCUGAUGUCU